This 413-nucleotide long non-coding RNA is filed under the name Parus major (Great Tit). RNAcentral's name for it is "lncRNA (ENSPMJG00000015433.1)". The record is from RNAcentral. Lineage: Eukaryota; Metazoa; Chordata; Aves; Passeriformes; Paridae.
AGAAUCAGCUUUAAUCAGUGAUUUCACCCAAAGCAGCUGUGGGCUGUUUGCUGGGAGACGCUCCCAAGGGCUGUUUAGGUUUGCAGCUGGGACAAAUCAGCUGCAAUCAGCUCCAAUCAGCUCCCCAUAAAGCUCUCACUUCCCCGGCUCUGGGGAAGAGUUUGGGCUUUGUGCUCUGAGCUGCAUAUGUCUCUGAACUUGGAUGGUGCUUUUUCUGGUGUUGGAGGGAAGCAGAACAGAAGUGUGAUUCCCCAAGCUUUCAAGUUAUAAAGUUCUGUAGUUUUGAGGAGAUCUGUUUGGUCUCUGUGUCACAUGAGGAGGAGGAGGAGAAGUCCUCAGACUCAUGAAUAUACAGCAAGGUAAGGAAAAAGCUUGAACAAAAAUUAAAAUAAAAAAUCUCAGCCCAUUUUGCA